UUGAUCCUGCCGGACCCGACUGCUAUCAGAAUAGGACUAAGCCAUGCGAGUCAACGUAGCAAUACGUGGCAUACGGCUCAGUAACACGUAGUCAGCAUGCCCAGGGGACGUGGAUAACCUCGGGAAACUGAGGAUAAACCGCGAUAGGUCAUAAUAUCUGGAAUGAUUUCUGGCUGAAAUCUAUAUGGCCCCUGGAUUGGACUGCGGCCGAUCAGGCUGUUGGUGAGGUAAUGGCCCACCAACCCUAAAACCGGUACGGGCUCUGAGAGGAGAAGCCCGGAGAUGGGCACUGAGACAAGGGCCCAGGCCCUAUGGGGCGCAGCAGGCGCGAAAACUCUGCAAUAAGCGAAAGCUUGACAGGGUUAUUCUGAGUGAUUUCCGCUAAGGAAAUCUUUUGGCACCUCUAAAAAUGGUGCAGAAUAAGGGGUGGGCAAGCCUGGUGUCAGCCGCCGCGGUAAUACCAGCACCCCGAGUGGUCGGGACGAUUAUUGGGCCUAAAGCAUCCGUAGCCGGUUCUACAAGUCUUCCGUUAAAUCCACCUGCUUAACAGAUGGGCUGCGGAGGAUACUAUGGAGCUAGGAGGCGGGAGAGGCAAGCGGUACUUAGUGGGUAGGGGUAAAAUCCGUUGAUCCAUUGAAGACCACCAGUGGCGAAGGCGGCUUGCCAGAACGCACUCGACGGUGAGGGAUGAAAGCUGGGGGAGCAAACCGGAUUAGAUACC
RNAcentral lists this ribosomal RNA (721 nucleotides) under uncultured Nitrososphaerota archaeon. RNAcentral describes it as "bacterial SSU rRNA". It matches the Rfam family "Archaeal small subunit ribosomal RNA", at positions 8 to 737 of the family's 1478-position model. Lineage: Archaea; Thermoproteati; Nitrososphaerota. The record is from RNAcentral.